This is a long non-coding RNA of Astyanax mexicanus (Mexican tetra), 2098 nucleotides long. RefSeq lists it as uncharacterized. The record is from RefSeq and is a predicted model, not a curated record. NCBI's taxonomy places the organism in Eukaryota, Metazoa, Chordata, Actinopteri, Characiformes, Acestrorhamphidae. The transcript has 12 exons.
UUGUAAAAAAAACGGGAGACUUUUCUUAUUAUGUUAUUUGUAUAUAUAUAUAAAUCACAUUACAAAUAACAUAAUACAAAAAAUAAGUAUGAACUUCUGCAACAUAGAUAUUACAUUAAGAGCAAAUUAACAUAAAAAAAUUUACAUUCAGAAGAAAGUAUCAACUUCAAUGUGCAAUCAAAUUGAAAAUAAAUAGCGUAACUGUAGUGCAAAACAAAAGGUCAAGAAACUAAAAUAAAUACAUAUAAAUAAAACAAAGACACAUUCAUACGCUCACUGUUGUGGGUGCAGAACAAAUUAAAUCCAAACAGGAUCAUCAUGAUAAAGGUGGCCUUAUGCCCUUUACUUCAGAAACUUUGUCUAUUGGUUAUGAAUAUGCUUGUUAUACAACUAUUAUUACUAAUAGUAAUAAUAUUAUAAAAAAAUAACCACGAUAACAAUAUACGUUAUUAUUACUAUUACCAGGCCUCAACCUUGUUUUUCUUUCUCGAGAGCGCCAGCCCUGAUAACAGUUCAGUGAGUGACCGAAUCACUGAGUGAACGAGAGCACCAGCCCUGAUAACAGUUCAGGUGGUGAGCUUCCUGAGGGCUUUGAGGAUAGUUAUCCUGGUGCGUGUCUUUCGUCUGGCCUCUCAGAAGAAAGAUCUGGAGAAGGUCACUAGAAGAAAGGUAUCUGAGAACAAAAGGCGGUAACAAAAAGGAUGGAUUUGAUUUGGAUCUCACCUAUGUCACAGGCACUCUACAGAAAUCCCAUAAAAGAAGCUGCCAUAUUUCUGGACACAAAGCAUCCCGAUCAUUACAGAGUUUACAAUCUCUGCAGUCAAAAAGGCUACGAUCCACUGUUCUUCCAUUACAGAGUGCAACGAGUGAUGAUUGACGACCAUAACGUACCGUCAUUAGACCAACCCACUCGUUAGGACUCCCCCUAUCACUAGUAAUGCCCCAACACACCAGGAGGAUGAAGACUAGCACACUCUUUCUCCGAUACAUGUGACGUCAGCCACCGCUUCUUUUCGAGCUGCUGCUGAUGCAGCAUUGCCAAGCAGCCAGCACAUUUGGAGGAAAGCGCAGCGGCAGGUGAACCCGAGGAACCUGAGGAAAGUGGUGGGAAAUCUCGAGCCAGGUCAGACCUUGGGUUGGGUUUGGGCAGAGAACCUAAGCUCUUAUUCACAUAUUGAACUUUGUGUUAUUGUGUUCUCAGUGACAUGUUGAACUACACUGCCAGUUUGAGGGAAUGUCAUUGCCAUCCACUGCAAAGGAGGCAAAGGUGUGGGAAAGGGCAAUGGCAGUGAUCUGAAGGUGCGGAUCAUAGUGAAAAGAGAGCAGGUGUUCCAGUGUGUCUGUGCCACGCAGACGAACUGUAGGCUGUUCCCAGAUACUGAAAACAAUGCCGGGGUGAUCAGCUUUCAGGAAGGGCCAGUGGUUUGUGGUGAUGUUAAGGUCAUGUUUGAAUCCAGGGCUGGUCUUCCAAAGGGGUAUGAGGACUAUCCUUUCUAUUUCUGGUUCAACACUUCAUUUGUAGAGAACAACAGGCUCUAUCUGUCAAGGGAGGAACUGGACAACCCUCGUAAGUCCAAAACCUGGGACAUCUACAAGGAGGACUUUGGUGUGACCGUGUCUUUCAGUGACCCUGCACUUAUGUAGCAGACGACACUUGCUUGUGUAUCUCAACUAAAACCCUUAAGCCCUGCACAAGGUCUAAAUCUUUGCUCUAAUGUAGGUUUUCACACACUUAUAAAAGGUGAGUGAUGUUUAGGGAUUGGAUUCGGGCAUAUUGUGCCCCUAAAGCUAUAGCUAUAGCUAUAUAACCUCAACUUUAUGUCCAUCCCCCAUCUUCACUGUAAGAGCUUUUUACUGAGCCGUGCAUACAUCACAAUAUUAUGCAUUUGUUUGUCAAAUGUUUUUUGUCUUUAAAUGAAGACAAAUGUUUGUGUCAGUUUAGCAUAUUAUGCUUCCAAAAUGUAAAUCUUACUCUUUAAGCUUGUGUACAUCAAAUAAAGCAAUCGAGGCUGCCACUGUGAAAUGGUCAAUGGUUAUGUGUGCAGAAACAUUUUUUUGUAGUACACAUGUAUUGAAAUAAAUACUAAUGUCUCUGUAA